Homo sapiens (human) is the source of this 1304-nucleotide long non-coding RNA. Ensembl annotates it as long intergenic non-protein coding RNA 1471. The record is from Ensembl. Lineage: Eukaryota; Metazoa; Chordata; Mammalia; Primates; Hominidae.
AGAGGUGGGGGACAGAGUGGGUGGGGAGGGGAGCCGCCAUACAGUGGCCAGGACCAGCUUUGCCCAAGUGGUGGCAACCGCAUGACCACAGGAACGAUGGCGUGAGCCCCGUGGCAACCUGGAGGAAGGGCCAAGCCACUGGUGAAUAUGCUGCAAAAAAUAUGCUGGAACUUCUAUGAAUACCACAGGGUGUGAGAAGAAAACAUUAGAACUUCUAUUUUGUACCUGUGUUACUCCACAACAAGAAAGCAAUCAGCUUGAUCAAUGCCUACUGUAAAGACGGCACCGCCCUCCGGAGGUCCUUUCUCAGCCCUGGUGUUCGGACAGCCACAUCCCCUCGCAGCAGGGGGAGGCCUGAAGCAUAGAGGGGCCCAUGCAGGUCUAUUCUGUUUCAGCGAAUUGCCUGGGAAAUAAUCCAGGAUCCAUUUCGUGUGGUCAUCUUGUCUCCCUGGUCCCCUCCAGCCUUUCCUCAUCUUUUGUGACCUGGUCACUCUGGAAGGGCGCUGGCCAGUUAGUCCACAGGAUGGGCCUCCCCUGGGGCUUUUCUGAUGCUUCCUUAUGAUGGCACUGGCAUCCUGAGGGGGAGGACCACAGAGAGGAGGUGCUCCUCAUCACACCACAUGGGGGUCCAUGCACCAGUGCCACUGCUUUCCAGGGCUCUUCACCUUCAUCACUGGUGGAGGUGGCGUCUGCCAAGAAGCAGAAAGUUGAGGCUUAGAAGGUGCACGGCCCUACCUCUUCCGAGGUGCCCCUGCGGGCUGUCUACAGACCAGGCAGCACAUGCCUGAUAGCAGCUGCAUAAGGAAAAGCAGGAGCCAGCUCGUGCACAGUGGCCUCAAGUGUGCACUGGGCAUGUUCUCUGCCUCACCAUCCCUGUGUGACAGAUGAAGCAUGGCAAGCCAGGCUCCAGAGAAGCAUCCUGAGGACCAGUGUUCCUAGGGACCUCAUUCUUCUGACCUCAUUCCUACAACGUUUUGUCACUGCAAAGGAAAUCACCAAGGCCAGCAUGACAGCCCUCAACAGAAGCCAAGGCCAAGUCCUCGAACUUCCUAGUCUGCACAAUGUCUGUCUUUCAGACACUUCUGAUGAAACUGAAAAUGCCACCAGGGAGAAGCAGCUGAACUUCAAGGACCACAGAGGGCCAAGUGCAGGAGUAAGAGGCUGGCGUGCUGACAGUGGCCAAGGGCAUUGGAGGGAAGGACCUGUCAUCACUGGGCCAAGGAAGGAACUCCAGACUGCCUACUUCCAGAGGGCCUGCUGAGUAAGCCACACACAUCCUUGUGGUUUAAACAACUGUUCACCCA